Molecule: long non-coding RNA, 1748 nt
Organism: Gastrolobium bilobum
Lineage: Eukaryota; Viridiplantae; Streptophyta; Magnoliopsida; Fabales; Fabaceae
Exons: 9
Source: RefSeq, a predicted model, not a curated record
AAGUUAUUUAACGACCGCUACAACUUCAUCACUUCAAAAAAAAAAAAAAAAAUGCGCGCCACGAUGGUUGCCAAUGUUUAGGAAGAUGAUGCAGCAAUGAAGCUCAUCAUCGACCCCAAUGCAGAUAGAUUAUUAUGGUCACUGGUGUGCAUGAGGAAGUGCAAGAGGAUGAUUUGCAAACUGUAUUUCGUGAAUAUGGAAAGAUUAAGAACCUACAUUUGAACCUCGAUCGUCGCAUUGGUUAUGUCAAAACAUUAGGUUACUCAAGUGAGAUGACCAAGGCUGCCAGUUACGUUAUUCCUCCUUUAUCAGGGCUCUCAAAGGUCUUUAUCUCCAUUCGGAGGCGUCAGUUUGAGCAAGUAAAAGAAGCUGUUCCUAUGAUUCUUAAUGUAUUGAAGGCUGUGUCUUUGGAGUCAGAAGAAGCCGUUCCUUGAGGGUGUUUUUGACAGAGCUGUUGAGAUUGCAAAUUCUACAUGUGAAGUUUGCAAUAAGUUGGAGAGUGUUGCAAAGGAGAAGCUCCGAGAUCUUCUUGGUCUAUAUGUCCUGCAGUGCUUGGUAGAUUUCUCUGUACUGUAUUAAAAUUUUAUAAUUAUUCUUAUUUGUAAUUCUUUCCCAACUACUUUUUAGUAAAUUCCUUACUUAUAUAGUAUGAUUUUAUUUACUAAUAUAUGAUUUAAUAAGUUACCAUACACUGUUAAGGCUCUUGUUUCAGCCAGCUUAAGCUAUAAAGCUUCCAGUUGUCGUUCAAUGGUAUUACAACUGUCUCGAAUGUCUUCAUAUUGUGGUUUAUCAUAUCUCAAUCUAGUAACAACUGAUGAUGUCGAGACUGUGGCUAGCUCGAUUUUUGGAGGUAGUACUAUUGGGUUACUUCGUGUCUGCUGCUAAUUUAUCUCCAUGUUAACUCAAGCAUUAUUUACACCACUUUAUGUUUUUCUAUUCCCCUUCAAUUGCUCAGAAGAUAAAGAUGAUAUGGGUUAUUUAUCUUAUGUCAAACAUGGUGCUGCUCUUUCAGGUUUGUGUUAGGAUGAUUAAUGUAAUUGAAUCUCUUACGCAUUUUUCCCUAUUCCAUCAAAAAUCCAUUUUUUUCAGUGAUUUGGGGGGCAGGCCUCAAAGGAGGUUGCUCAAACUGCUAAAGAGGAUUUAGUUGCCAUCAAGGAUGAACUUCGCAAUAACCGGACCAAAAGGUGGCAAGCAAUAGGAACAUUAAAGCAUGUACUUUCCUUUGUAAAUCUGCCAUGGGAGUUAAAGAAACAUACUAUCAACUUCUUGCUUUGCAUCACAGAUGGAGUUAUAACUGGAAACACCAAUGAUGAGCAUUCUGAGUGGCUAUUAAAAUGGUUAUAAUGUAUGCCCCAGAUCCAGAACUUAGAAUAGAAGCCUUUGCUGUGCUAAAAGAAGACAUUUGGAACAAGACCUAUUAUCCGAAAGCUGCAGAUCAUGUGAUUCAUGAGAAAACAUGGUAUGUUGUUGAUGCCACUGACAAAAUUCUUGGAAGACUGGCAUCAACAAUUGCUAUUCACAUCAGAGGGAAAAAUUCAAUGACCUAUACUCCCAGUGUGGACAUGGAUGCGUUUGUAAUUGUGGUAAAUGCAGAAAAGGUUGCUGUAACUGGGGAAAACAGGACCUAAAAGCUUUAUAGGAGGCACUCAGGACGAUCUGGUGGUAUGAAAGUGGAGACAUUUUCCCAGCUACAGAACAGAAUUCCUGAACGAAUUGUUGAACAUUCUGUUCGUGGCAUGCUUCCAAAA